GAUGAACGCUGGCGGCGUGCCUAAUACAUGCAAGUCGAGCGAACGGACGAGAAGCUUGCUUCUCUGAUGUUAGCGGCGGACGGGUGAGUAACACGUGGAUAACCUACCUAUAAGACUGGGAUAACUUCGGGAAACCGGAGCUAAUACCGGAUAAUAUUUUGAACCGCAUGGUUCAAAAGUGAAAGACGGUCUUGCUGUCACUUAUAGAUGGAUCCGCGCUGCAUUAGCUAGUUGGUAAGGUAACGGCUUACCAAGGCAACGAUGCAUAGCCGACCUGAGAGGGUGAUUGGGCACAACGGAACUGAGACACGGUCCAGAAUCCUACGGGAGGCAGCAGUAGGGAAUCUUCCGCAAUGGGCGAAAGCCUGACGGAGCAACGCCGCGUGAGUGAUGAAGGUCUUCGGAUCGUAAAACUCUGUUAUUAGGGAAGAACAUAUGUGUAAGUAACUGUGCACAUCUUGACGGUACCUAAUCAGAAAGCCACGGCUAACUACGUG
Molecule: ribosomal RNA, 497 nt
Filed under: uncultured bacterium
Lineage: Bacteria
Description: partial 16S ribosomal RNA
Rfam family: Bacterial small subunit ribosomal RNA
Source: RNAcentral